Lagopus muta (rock ptarmigan) is the source of this 1030-nucleotide long non-coding RNA. RefSeq lists it as uncharacterized. The transcript has 5 exons. The record is from RefSeq and is a predicted model, not a curated record. NCBI's taxonomy places the organism in Eukaryota, Metazoa, Chordata, Aves, Galliformes, Phasianidae.
UUUUUCUGGAGAUUUCUUCUUCUGGAGUUUUUCAGUGAACUCAAACAUGAGCCCAGAGAUCUGUAGGGAAAGAAAAAACCCAACGAAAACAAUGUCCAAAAAAACUCUACAUGGAAAAGAACAGAAAAUACCGUGCAUGAUCUGGCUCAGAUUUACCAGAAUUCAGUGAAGCUGAACAAAGAAGGGGAAGGAGAAAUGUCUUCUGUUUCAUUUGAAAAACAAACAAAAAGAUUCUGUAGAGUGAAAGUACCUGAAGACUGGAUCAGUAUCUAAGCAAACUGCCAAGUCUCCAAGACCAGAACGUGGGCAUGUGGCAGGAGCUGUAGUCUGCUUUAGUCUGCUUCUACAGGUUUUGUUGCUGCUGUUGGUUUUGUUCUUUCUCACCUCCUCAUCCAGCACUACCAAGCAACAUAUUUGUCUACCAUGUCUUGCUUGAAGUGAAAUCUGCUACAAUUUCCAUUAUCUACAUCUAAUAUAUGAGUAACAGAAAUAAUUGCAGUUCUGGUCUUGAGUAGAACUAAAACUCUCACUGAAAUCGUUGUACGAGUGUUUAUGAACUUCCCACAUUCAGCCUCACCAGCUCCUGAAGACUGGGGAAGAUUGUAGGCUUUCCUUGUGGAUUGGAACUGCCUCAUCACAUAUUCAGAAGUUUGUCUGUGUUAAUAUGCAUGAUCCUUUGCCAUGACAGAAAAUUUCUUGACAGCGACAAGGCACUUUGCUUAUGUGUAAUAGGAUGCUCUAUACACAGGCAAGAUGAUAUUCCUCGUACGUUGUAUAUUGACUUGUUUUAAGAACAAGUAAAUGAGAUUUGACAAAGAAUGUGAAAAAAUGUACUCUGGAAGAAUGAAGGAAAUGAAGUUAGCAUCGUGUCAUCAUAAAUCUUAGACUCUCUGUAUUCAAAUGCAAUCACUUGCCCCAGUAAAGAAAAUGUAUUAUUCAUGGCCUCAUACAUCUUGUAAAACGAUGUGAUUGGUUUAUUCAACAUUCUCUGACAAGAUCUUAUGCAGAAGUACAAAUAAACAAAAUAAUG